This is a non-coding RNA of Salvelinus sp. IW2-2015, 232 nucleotides long. The record is from RefSeq and is a predicted model, not a curated record. Lineage: Eukaryota; Metazoa; Chordata; Actinopteri; Salmoniformes; Salmonidae.
UUCUGCAAUUCCACCAGGAAGGAUGGAUUCUCCUUCCCAAGAACAACRGUUGGCUGGUCUGCUUAUUCAGAAGAGUUAUGUGAUGAGAAGACAACCAGUGCCGGUUUACCAGAAGCCUCAGCAAGAUGUUUAAAUGACACUGGAUCUCCAAUGUUUGGUUCUCCUCACAUUCUGCAGUGUGAAUUUACCCUCAGUGACAUUCAAGGAAAUAUCUCCAGCAGUUCAGGUGAUU